GAGGUCUUAGCUUAAUUAAAGUGUCUGGUUUGCAUUCAGAAGAUACAGGUUAAUAUCCUGUUGACCUUA
Molecule: transfer RNA, 69 nt
Filed under: Coturnix pectoralis (stubble quail)
Lineage: Eukaryota; Metazoa; Chordata; Aves; Galliformes; Phasianidae
Description: tRNA-Ala
Rfam family: tRNA
About the family: Transfer RNA (tRNA) molecules are approximately 80 nucleotides in length. Their secondary structure includes four short double-helical elements and three loops (D, anti-codon, and T loops).
Source: RNAcentral